Molecule: transfer RNA, 73 nt
Filed under: Salmo salar (Atlantic salmon)
Lineage: Eukaryota; Metazoa; Chordata; Actinopteri; Salmoniformes; Salmonidae
Rfam family: tRNA
About the family: Transfer RNA (tRNA) molecules are approximately 80 nucleotides in length. Their secondary structure includes four short double-helical elements and three loops (D, anti-codon, and T loops). Further hydrogen bonds mediate the characteristic L-shaped molecular structure. tRNAs have two regions of fundamental functional importance: the anti-codon, which is responsible for specific mRNA codon recognition, and the 3' end, to which the tRNAs corresponding amino acid is attached (by aminoacyl-tRNA synthetases). tRNAs cope with the degeneracy of the genetic code in two manners: having more than one tRNA (with a specific anti-codon) for a particular amino acid; and 'wobble' base-pairing, i.e. permitting non-standard base-pairing at the 3rd anti-codon position.
Source: Rfam by way of RNAcentral
UCCUCUGUGGCUCAGUUGGUAGAGCAUGGUGUGUGCAACACCAGGGUUGUGGGUUUGAUUCCCAUGGGGGGGC